AACGAACGCUGGCGGCAUGCCUAACACAUGCAAGUCGAACGAGACCUUCGGGUCUAGUGGCGCACGGGUGCGUAACGCGUGGGAACCUGCCCUUAGGUUCGGAAUAACUCCCCGAAAGGGGUGCUAAUACCGGAUAAUGUCUUCGGACCAAAGAUUUAUCGCCUUUGGAUGGGCCCGCGUUGGAUUAGCUAGUUGGUAGGGUAAAAGCCUACCAAGGCGACGAUCCAUAGCUGGUCUGAGAGGAUGAUCAGCCACACUGGGACUGAGACACGGCCCAGACUCCUACGGGAGGCAGGAGUGGGGAAUAUUGGACAAUGGGCGAAAGCCUGAUGCAGCAAUGCCGCGUGAGUGAUGAGGGGCUUAGGGUUGUAAAGCUCUUUUACCCGGGAUGAUAAUGACAGUACCGGGAGAAUAAGCGCCGGCUAACUCCGUG
This 433-nucleotide ribosomal RNA is filed under the name uncultured bacterium. RNAcentral describes it as "partial 16S ribosomal RNA". It matches the Rfam family "Bacterial small subunit ribosomal RNA", at positions 29 to 507 of the family's 1533-position model. The record is from RNAcentral.